AAAGUCGUAACAAGGUUUCCGUAGGUGAACCUGCGGAAGGAUCAUUAAAAAGUUUGGCUUUGGCCGACUGCGAAAGCGCGCGCCACCAGGAACCUCCGUCGGCGCCCUCCGGCCCGCCCGCACCUUCCGGGCGCGUGCUCUAAACUGGAGUUGGCGUACAAUCAAAUCGACGGGGGGGAAUGACCGGCCGGGCCCACGCGUCAACCCUCCGUGAAACGUCCCCUUUGCUUAGGCAGCGCACCUGCGGUUCGCCGCUGGCCGGUCAGUCUGCCCGAAGCCCCAACCGAACCACUUGUUUGAACUUACGUCCGAACGAACCAGUCUAAUGACUUUAAAACUUUCAACAACGGAUCUCUUGGUUCUC
RNAcentral lists this unclassified non-coding RNA (364 nucleotides) under Ascomycota sp. RNAcentral's name for it is "partial contains small subunit ribosomal RNA, internal transcribed spacer 1, and 5.8S ribosomal RNA". The stretch from base 1 to 47 matches the Rfam family "Eukaryotic small subunit ribosomal RNA", at positions 1785 to 1831 of the family's 1831-position model. Lineage: Eukaryota; Fungi; Ascomycota. The record is from RNAcentral.